RNAcentral lists this long non-coding RNA (10706 nucleotides) under Ooceraea biroi (clonal raider ant). Its description in RNAcentral is "uncharacterized LOC109611397". Lineage: Eukaryota; Metazoa; Arthropoda; Insecta; Hymenoptera; Formicidae. The record is from RNAcentral.
UUUAAAAAGUACAAUUUUUUGUUUAAGAAACAAAAUCUAAUUUUAAAAUGUCUACUACAUUCCGUUUAUGACAGGAUGUAGAAUUUUAUAUUAUCGUUUUGAUGCACUCUAAUUCAACGUGACGUCGUACGUCGCAACUGCAUGUAUAUUAAAACACAUUCACUCGUGAGAAUCGAUCAAGUCACAUGGAUAGACUCGGGUUCGUUAAUAAUUCCUACGUGCAUAUAAGCAGCAGUACAGUAACGGCGAACGAAACCCAGGAUGCACCUCGGAUACACGCGCGUUCGUCGAACAUAUCUGUUUUCAGUUCGCCGUAAAUGAUGCACGUGGCCCGCGUAAAGCAAGACGUGUAUAUCGUUCAUGACGCAGCUGGCAGCGAACGUGUCGAAAUGACAGCCCGAUAAUUUUACCUCACGUUUACUGAACGUAAAUGGUUUCAAUCACAACAUGCUUCAAUAACGAUGCAUAAUCGACGUAAUAAAAGAAGAAUACAAGCAUAUGCGAACGUCACGAGAACGUCACAUAUUUUACAUUAUUAGACGUUUUAUUCUUUGAUACUAUAUUAAUGAUGUACUCUCUUCUCGAUCAUAUUUUUAGCAAUAAUAUUUAGAUGAAAUAUUCUUAACAGCGUAUUUAAAUAAUAUGUUAGAUAAUGUUUUACAAUUACUGCUUCAUAAUUUCUUUGAAAUUAUUACCAAUAUCAUUUGUCAUGUUCUUUAGCAGUCCACAAGCAAUUAUUGCAGCUGCAAAACGUUAGUGAAGAACGGGGUUGCGUCGACAAACGUCGUGCAAGUUGAACGAUGAUCCGUAGAUCUAUUUGGCCUACUUUAAUAUUUCGAGCAACACUGCCUCUUUCGCGUUUUGUAACGAACAGAAACGGCGCGUUGGAGAUUGUCCAGGAUUCAGUCGGCUCGCUUUAGAUUCGGCUACUCGGCCGAGAUGCGCGACUUCAAGCUAUAAUUGAUGAGCUAUAAUUCUUGACGAUCGAUGCCCAACAAGCGACUUCCAGCAUAAUCUUCGUCUAAAAAUACUAUCUUUAUUGAAUUAUAGACCAUGAAAGAAAGGCAUUGACAAGUUUGCAUACGUUUGGAGAUAUUAUGUCAAACGGUUCUAAAUUGAGAGAUUUUCAAAAUAAAACUGUAUUAAAUGAAUAUUUUUUUGAUGAAAGCAGAAAUCAAAAGUUUUAGAAUUUUAACGCAGGAAUAUGCAAAUUAUAUACAACACAACAAAUUACGUAAGUUAUUGAUAACGGAUGAUUAGAUGUCUUUGUAAUUAGAAAGUUUUCCAUACUUAUAUUCAUGCAAAUUAACUUUUCUUCUGGCUAAAGGAAAUUAAUAAAAUGGAAAGACUCCACAGUUUCGAAGAAAGCAGGAAGGAAUUAUGUGGAACAUCCCAUGUAUAUCCUGUUUCGUGGUUAUUGCGCGAAAUGAUGAACAGGAGAUAAUAAUCCGCAAUUAAUCAAGAAAACCACAAGCAUAAAAGCGUAAUUCGGUAUACGGUAUAUUUUCCGUAUCGGUAGAAAGUACGUACUUUCCAGUACGCGCUUCGGAGUGAUAUAAAUGCUAUAUUUCACUGAGUUAUGUCUAUAGGAAGAGAUAUCGCAGAAAACGGCCUUCUCCAAGAGAAUUAAUCAUUCCCUACUUCAUAGUAAUGUCAACAAUAAAUUUACAGCAUAUUGCGGAGUAGAGGAGCAAAUCUUAAUUAUUGUACAUUGCUAAUUCAAUGAAUGAAUAAAUUCAUUUGGGUCGAGCAAUGAAUCUACUGGAAGACGGUUCCGUUUACCCUACACUCGAAGUUCCGGUGUUUCACUUGACCCCGUGGCAGAUACGUAAGCAGUUUCCACGAUGCGUCAUCGUGACCAAACGUUUGAGUUGAUCGAUUUCAAGGGUCGACCAACCGGGCUGGCCGGAAGUUUUCAUAGGCUGCACUUUCGGCGGAAGUACCCUACCACAUGCAGAUAUCCCGAAUCAAUUUACUCCUGCAUACUUAGCAUCCUAUUUUUAGAAUUUCGAUAUAGCUGAUGAGAGUCUGGCUGUUUCUCAAAGAACUCUAAAGCUCUUGACACGUUUCGAAAGAGAGUUUCGUUGAUUAAAUAAAAGAGCUUGAAGACGUUUCAAUUCUUCACAUUUCCAUAAAUUGGCCGAAACAUUUUUAUAUCAAUCUGAUUCAAAAUAAAUGUUGAAUCGAAAGAAAUGUAAAAAUACGACCUAUUAGAAUUUUUUGUUUCCGUGCGUAUUACUAUGCGCGGCGUUGUUUCAAGUAAUAUAUGCACCCUUUACAUAAUAGGACUGUAAGAACUUCCGCAGGAAAUGCGAAUAAAGGGAUCACGAUUACACUCUGGAUAUACAUAUUGUCACAUAAAUAUAUUUAAAGUUGUCUAACAUGUAUACGUAACCAUAACAUUUUACAUACGAUUAUUAUAAAUGACAUUUCUGCACAAUACUCCUUUACUAUACCAAUUUAGUCAUAAUUACAGCUUCUAUUUUUAAGUCUCAGUUAUUCUUAAACAAAUUUUGUAAUGUUUCUCAUAUAACAAUUGACUUAACUUAUUUAUAAAAUCAAUAAAUAACAUUAUAAAGACGGGGAAUAAGAAGAACGAACUAUAUGCGGGCACUUUCAACAUUUUACUUUAUGAACACCUUUAGUUGCGAUGGCACCGUUUCCUCCUCAGGUAAUCGCAGAAAAGCAAGCACUGCCUUUGCAAAAGGGCGCUCGGAAGCCAUCCGGUGUCGAGGUGCUUUAUCGUACCCCAUGAAAUGAGAUAUGAGGGGGAGAAAUGCUUAUUCGCGGUUUCCCUCUCGUUCCUCGCCGCGCGCGAGAACGGCGAUAAAAGGAGGAAGGCUCAUUCCCCUAAUUGGAACGCGCGCCCGUUUUGCUUCCGAGGUAACAGGUGGUGCCUAUACAUGCCACUUAUUCGCGCAACGUUCGUACGCGAGGCUCGGGAAAAACCUUUCGCCGCUGUGCUUUUCCUAAAUUGACAUCCGUAUGUAUGCCCCUUUGGCCUCUUAAAUCUUUUAUCUCAUAAAAGAGAUAUCGACUUUCUAUUAUUUAACGUGAUUGUCAUCGCAAGACAGUUAUCAGUAUUACGUCAUCAUUAGAAAUGAAGCCUACUUUCAUUGAACGGUGGCACGCGGUAUCACGACUUUUUUCAAAUAAAUGAAGAGCUCAAUGAUCAGCUGAAGCUGUCGUAUUAUAGUUUCAUGCUGCACAACGCAAUAAGUAAUUUAAUCAGCAAGAUUUUUCGAUAAUCAUUUCAGGAUGUACACCGCACAGAAUAAUCUGAUUAAAUGUCGUGUGCUGAAAUCUGCAUUAUACACGAGUCCGCCUCACACAGAGGUAGAAAUAUUCUUUCAUUACCGGUGAUUAGCGAGGCGUGACAAUUAAUACGGUAAAUAGAAGGAGAAAAAUGAGCAACUUGUGAAAUCCGGUGGGGAAAUAUAAUUAUUUCUUCGCUUGAUGUGCCGACAUAUGCAGCGCGAGAUAUUUAUGUAUCUAUUACAUUACACAAGGAAUUAUAUAUAUUUCCUGUUUGUAUAAUAAUUAUAAAACCGCAUAAUUGUAAAGUGUGUAAUGAUGAUAUAAUAUCAUGCUUUUGUGUUUGUAUGUGUUUUUAAUAAUUUCUUUAACUAAAACUAAAAAUUUUAUUUUUCCUGUAUUGUUAAAUGAAGGGUCAGGGUUAAAUAUUUUUUCCUAAUAAAAACGUCAGUGUCUCAACAUGUUUAUUACGAAAUAAUCGACUCUCCGUAAUUUGAUCAAAGAACCCAGGUGAAGUUUACCGGCGCGGUUGGAAAUGCACCCUGUGCAACGCCCACGUCAAACGACGAUAUGGCGAAAAAAUGCGCACGACGACGUCAUCGGCGUGCAUAUGCGCGUGCGAACGUGCAUGUGCAUGCACGUAGUAGGCCCUGUACAAAGCCUUCAAUCAAAGCGCGUCUUUGCGCCUUUGACAUAUCCGUAAUCACCGUCGUCGUGCACGCUGCCGUGAACACUGUUGUUCACGCGUCGAUUUGUUUUAUCGAUUAGUUCAGGCGAGUCCGCCAGGGAACCCAUGACCUUUGUCGAAAUUCUAAUUCAUGUUCGGGUAACUCGCGAAUCGCGCAUAUCGCGAAUUCCGCACUUCCAUUUCGGUGGAUCAUCGCAACGAACUAAUAAUUACCGAUAAUUCGAAACGGAUGAAUCCGUAUAAACGGAUAUUAUUGUUUCCUCCCCUUUUUUUAUUUAUUCAUGUAAGUUUCUGAUGUAAUAAAAACCUGUGAAAACGGAUUCCGUGUGCACAUUCCGAUGCAUUUAAUCAGCAGACUGUGACUAUGACUAUAGAAGUUGUACUUCCUCGGAAGUCCGUUGGGUGUUGGUCGAUUACGGCAAUAUAAUAUAACUAUUCAAGAUGCAAAGCACAUUGUAAGGUCAUCGGUCAUAAGGUCACUUGCGUCUACCUAUCGGUUCUAGAAGUUAAGUGUUUUUAGUUUAUAUGUCACUCAACUUCCACAGAAUUGUAAGCCUCAAUGGGGAAAUACGUGAACACUGAAUCGUUAUUUGUCCAUAAUAUCUAUUUAAGUCGCGUGACGUAACUAAUGAAUCCGCAGUGAAUAUAACGCGAUUGCAUAUGAAAUAAAAUAAUGUUUUACACGUUCCAAAUCUCUUUUUCAGAUUUGCUUUGUUAGUCUGCCAGAUUUAUACAAAUGAUGGAACACGCGAGGAAAUUGGAUGCAACAAUUUGUCAUCUAUUAUUGUAUCGAUAUUUUUGAUCGGGAUAAAUCUCUCUUGUAAGAAAUUCCCUCGAUAUUAUUUUACACGAUUACUCAAUGAUCGCUCAGCGGGCCACAGGCAUGAGAAAAUGGAUUUUCUAAUAUAUUCCGCUUUCGAAAUAUUGGAAAGCGUUGAUCAAGACUCAAUUCCAGGCGGAAACGUUGCGCUGCCACUCGCGCAUCGCAAGCGAGUUGAUACGCACCUGUUACAACAUAAGAUGCUAACGUCAGUUUCUCGUGCAUUAUCCAGCAAGAAAGUAAAUAUCGCUGGCAAAAGAUCCUCAUCUCCUCCGCUCCUGUAAUUACCGUAAAAGCUGUGCAGUCGCGCCGAUGAAAUCGGGUUUACCGCCACUAUCUCUGCUCGAGCACUCGCGAUUAAGCAACCUACUUCGCAAUAGUUGCAUCUUCGCCGAAUAUUUAAACGCUGGAAGCGCGAAUUCUACUGUAAUAUCAGGCCGUUACUUGGAAUUAGUAAAGGUCGUACUACAGGCUUCUUUAAUAAGAGAUAACAGAGUGCGGACCUUGAUCGCGAUUUUCGCAACCUACCGAGAUCGACAAACUUUCAGCCAUAAGGCAGAAACUUGUGAUAUCAUCAACGUAUAUUCCCGAGUUCUCAUUUAAUGUCACAUUUUGCGAGUUUAUUGGGAAGAUUUCGCGAAGAAGGGGAGGAAUUGAUUCGAAUUACUUGGAAUUUUAUGAAUUAAGGAGAAAAAGAAUCGCUGUUGAUGUAGACUGCUAUCAUAAAAAUUGCUAGAAUUAUGUUUACUCACUUCACUGUUUUCAAUUCAUAUUAAAGAUAUAAUUUUCCAAUAUAUGUAUAUCGCUAGUGUUAUGCAUCUGAGUAACAGAAAUAUAAUUUAUUUAUUUACACUAUUUUAAUACAUUAUAUUAUACUUUUCAAGCUUCGAAACAAAUUGGAAUUUACAUAAAACAAUGACUGCAUUCAGCAGAGAAAGCUACUUUGCAAUCGUUGUAAAAUUCAUGAAUCUGAUUGGCAUAUGCUCUUAGAUUCAAUCCAAAUUAAGAGCAUGUGCCAAUUAGAUUCACGAUGUUUACAACAGUUGCAAAACAGCUUUUUCCGCUGAGCGCAGACAAUAUUUAAAUUUAUAUUUAAAUAAAUAAAUAAAUAAAUUUAUAAAAUAAAUUUAAAUUUAUAUUUAGUUUAUAAGUCAUAAUUAUAAUCGGUGUUACGAGUUUAAUUUCAAAAAUCACAUAUCGUUGUUGAGACACUCAGCGUCGUGACGUUGCACACCAAAAUUUCCACUCGAACAUUUAUUUACCCAUUAAACGAGGGAUUCGAUUAGAUCGCGCGUUGAUUGCACGUCUGGAUGAAGUUAGGCAGCGUAUUUUCGUCGACGAGACCCUCCGCGAUCUUGACCUCGAACGAGACGGUUUUUUGGUGGCGCGUUAUUGGCGGCAUCGAGAUGACUACGAAUGAUCUUAUCGCGCGGCGCGAGAUUCCAGAAACGGCUAGAAAGCAUUGCCGAUCGAUCGCUCGCCUGCUGAGUAUAACGACGCAUGGGGAACCAUAACGAGGCGGCCACGGUGGACUUUUUUCUCUGGCGGUCGGCGACGAUGACUCAGAGCGUGCUCGUCGUUCCCAGGGGACGAUAACACUGUGUUACACCACCUAGGACGGUUAGGGUGAGGAAGGAAUCACGGGGAGGGCCCUGGCCUAUACUUCUCUGCCAAGGCCAUUUUAUCUACCUUGUCUGACGCGAGAAGAGAAUACGUGAGAAUCUUAGUGACUCUUCCCCAUAGAGCAGAUUCGCGCCACCAGCUUAAUGUGACUUCGUUAUAAUGGAUCAAGUGGCAUUGUCGACAUUACAGUUCAUUGCUAAACAGUCACUGUGGAGAUGAGACAACAAGCAUGUCCUCAUUCCGAGCAAUUUCAUUCAUUUGAGAAUCGCUCGACUGUUACGUAUCUUCUCAAAUAUCGUUAGAGUCAAUAUUAUUCUCAGCGCUUGAGGUAACGAUUGUUUAGUUUAUCAGACAAUGGUUGAACAGCCCGUAUGAACAACUCCAACAGUCCCCCUUAUUAUUGUACUCUGAUUGGAUUACGCGGGUAGGAUUUUUAUCGGUUUUAUUAUAAUGGACUUGCCCCCAUGUGUGUCACGUUCGAUAGUAGAUUCGAUGCAUGAAACGUUUGCGAGCGAAAUAUUCACACGAUCGAUGGGGCAAACAAGAAUCCAGGUUAUUUGGAAGAGAAUAAUGUGAUUACUCAGAUAUUUCUUUUUACAUAUGCUUGAAAAAUUGUGACAAAUGGUUGUUUAUAAUAUUAUCACAUCCUGGAGACGACCAGGAUUGACCAGGAUAGCAUCAGAAUUUUUUAUACUUUUGAUGUACGAUAUUUGAAGAAUGAACUUUAAUUUUUUUGCUUCUAAUUGUAGUCGUCAUUCGUAAAAAUAGUCGAUGUAAUCGCUAUUCGGUCGAGGCUGCUGUAGCGAAAGAAUUAAAUGAUGUACGAAGUAAAUAUAUCAUUAAAUAUUAUAUUACGUCAGAAAUUAAAUGAAUCUCCUCUUUUUAGAUUAAUGCAUUUAAAUAAUUUUCCGGAAACGGAGUUGUACGCUCAACAACUUUUCGAUAGAAAAAACGAUAAAAUAAUUUUUUGCAUGAGUUAUCGAUAUAUUAUCUACUCUGAAAAGGUUACAAAAAUCUUUUACGCGAAUAUAUGCAAAUCUCCUUUAGAAUUUCGUUAUAUUUAAGAAAUAAAUGGGAAAAUUUUAAUCUGUGAGGUUUAAAAUGUUUCUUGAAUCUGAUAUGAUCUUGUUUUUUAUAUAUUCUGUAACUUUGAUAAUUUUUGAAACAAAGAAAACGCGAUUGCAGUUGAAACUAAAAGCAACUUUUAAUUGAAACUUGACCCUCUUUUUCUUUACUCAAACUCCACCUUUAGUGAUGGCAUGGAGGUAAAAGAAAGAACAAAGAUAGUUAUCUUAAAUUCACUGAAGGAUUGUUAAUGGUAGAAACUGAGGCCACGCUAUUGGCAAUAACUCUUCAGGUCUAAUAUUUGGGAACCUUCUGAUCCUUUCUGAAUUUUCGUCGAAGCGAGACUGCCGAGGGACGUUCGUAGUUUUCAGAAGCCACGGUAUUAUGUUCAAGGCUGCCGGUCGCAUCUGACCGGAAAUACUUCAGCUGCCACGUCUGCCUCGACCCCACGUCUAUUCCAUCCGUGAGAACAAUCGAUGCACGUUAUGCAUGCAAGCUAAUUUCAAUAAAUAAUUUCGUAAUAGUAACAAAAUUGUGCCCAUUACUUCAAUAUAAUAUAAUUUUUAAGUUGCACAACUGCAAUCUUGACAUAUUAAUAUUCAGUAAGAUUUGAAGCAAGACUAUAAGAAACUUUUAAAUGCUAAUGAAUCAGUCUUAGCCUCUCACUGUUGGCGUUAAUGCUGAAUAUUUCAGAGCAACGGAGAGCUUUCUUCCACGUAAGCUGAAUAAUAAAAACAUCCUUUCAGAAACUUGCGGAAAGAGAGAAGAACCAUAGAUACGCCUGCUUGCAUACACUGGAGCAGCUUUCAUGAUGAAGUGUUAUAGUUAACUGAAUUUGCAUUUCAGACAAUUAUACAUGCGUUACUUUUCUGGUUUCCUUGAAAAAAAUAUCAUAUCAUAAAAUGAAAAUUUUAUUAUUAAUAUUCAUUUUUAUUAUUGAUAUUCUGAAGAGGAGAUAAUGUAUAAUAAAGUGAAAUCGAUAAACUGCAGAAUUAGCCAAAGCCUUGACCACUUUUCGUCACCAAUGAAUCGCAUGAAUAAAUUAUUGAAUAAAGUUCAUCUUUUUUUCCUUGCUCAAGGGUACAUAAUUUUGUACACGGUUGUGCUUGAAAUUAUAGAUCAAAGAAAACCUCGCACUUCGUCGUCACUUCGACUAUCGACUAAAAAUUCGAGAUCAUCGAUUUUUCUAGCGAAAUCUCGGAUUGUGUGUCGAUAAAGAAUCUCUUUCCGCGAUACGACGAAAUUGCUUGUGGAAACAGUUACGGACUCAUUUCGUGACAUCAUGCAAACUUUAUUCCGUCAUGUGGCGGCGCAGCGCGGAAGAUUGAAAAUGUUGCGUUUCACCGGGAAAUAAUUUGUCGUGAGCGCGCGGCAGCGGCCUCAUUUCCAUGCUUUACGAGGAGAAAUAAAAGUCUCGUGGAGGCUGCUGUUAGAUCGAUAAAAUAAGUAGAAGCCGAUCUUUCGAUGACGGACGCUAGAAUGAGCAAGUGUGCAUAAGGUGAACGACGCAGCAUCGCACGAUAGCGCCUUUAACAUGACGCAACGCUUUGUAUCGUGCAAGCAUAUACGUCGAAACGUGAUACCUAUUUCGAUAAAAUACUCAACAAAAUCAAAUUAAAUCUUAGCAUAAAACUGGCGAUUAAAUAAUUUAUUUACAUCACAAAAUUAUUACAUCUUUAUUUAGAUUUAUUUUAUUUAAAUUGUUACAAAGCACCGCUAGAGUUGUUACUAUUUACUUUCCUCUUGAAACUCAAGAAACGGCCAGAAAUAAUUAAAGCAAGUACGCUGCUGUGGCGUGGAUCUAUAUAAUUCAUUUCGCGAUACAGCCUGUGUAAGCGACGCAUUUGUGCUGCACAUAAAAUUGAAAUAUCAUGCAACAUUUAACAGGGACGUACGCGGACGUGCUAACUCUCUCGACAUCGAGCGGCCGGAUAUCAUGGAACGUUGGGAUUUCCGUCCGCGCCGGAUUUUUGCCAUAUUUUUUUUCUCACCUCUCGACCAGACGCGCAACCAGACCGCCGUUAUUAUUUGCCGUCCCUAUAUCGACAAGCAGGCACGAUGCGUCGAUGCUGGCGAAAAAAAACUGUGUAUUUCCUGGCGCGACGUAAUUGGCGACGCUUCUUUCACGCUGGGAUCACGAGAUGUGGAAACUCUCCGAUCUAAUAAGACAUCGGUGUACAUUGUUGAAAAAGUCUCCGAGUUAUUAUCCACGAGAGAUCGCCAAACUUUUUGCAUUGUGCUGCUCCCUUCUCUACUAUUUUCCUUCAUGACAUCCGUGCAAGCUCGCGUAACUACUAGUGCGACAAAAAAAUUACGCGGAACGAGAGAGACGGGUUGUUCCAAAUUGCAAAGUGCAUCGUCGUGUAGUCCUCCGUUCCACGAUCGAUCCACUCGAUUUAAUCUAACGGUCUACGGUUACUUAUUCCCCGUUUAAUCCAUUCGAUUUACCUUACGAAGCGGCUUACGAUUGCAUUUAAUCCAGAAUUCGAGGUUCCUGCGAACACGCCGGAAAGAAUAGGAGCGGUUUUUUGAGCCAGGCAAAUGAAAGAAGUCCAUUAAUUUCUCUUGCAGUGCAACGAGCAAAAUUGAAGAACACACAUAACACAAGACACAAAUCCUUUUACAGAAAUUAAGCGAGCACAAGGGUAUUGAAGGAUAAAGAGAAUGCUUCUGCUCUCUCGUCCAAAAAAACCCUCAAAGAGACAAACAGACUGUUAUAUAAAAUAUACGUAAACAUGCAACGCGAAAUAGUCGGCCAGAGGGACAAAAAAGCUCCAGAUAUCGGAAAGCAGCAGAUAUACCGUGUUAUGCACUCAAGUGCAUAAUGUAUCCUCGUUAUGUGUCGCAUCGUUGACAGCACCAAGUCUCUGCGGUCGUCGAAAAGGUCAGGGAAGCAGGGCCCAAUUAAUUUUCAAUUGCACCCCGGCUGUAAUUCAGCCCUUCUAUUUCCGUCGGUCACGCGACGCUGCACUUGACGCACGAUCGGCUCGGCUCCUGCAUCAUCGCGAGAGGCGCCGAUCGUGCGAGAGGAGACAGUUCUCGUGCUGCUUCCGUCCGUGGAAUCGGAUCGAGUGUUGCGUAACUCGACAUCGUUUACACGAGGUAGCCGACACAGUAUGCGGAACCAGACGCGCACAGCCUGAAUAUUAAUGCGUCGCGAUUUGGUUAUUAAAUUGGCACUACAUGGGCACGGUUGAAGAUUAAUUAAAACUUUAAUUUGUUGGUACACAAUAAACUACAAAAUAAUAUUAAUAU